GACGAACGCUGGCGGCGUGCUUAACACAUGCAAGUCGAACGAAGAGCGACGGAAGCUUGCUUCUAUCAAUCUUAGUGGCGAACGGGUGAGUAACGCGUAAUCAACCUGCCCUUCAGAGGGGGACAACAGUUGGAAACGACUGCUAAUACCGCAUACGAUCUAACCUCGGCAUCGAGGAUAGAUGAAAGGUGGCCUCUACAUGUAAGCUAUCACUGAAGGAGGGGAUUGCGUCUGAUUAGCUAGUUGGAGGGGUAACGGCCCACCAAGGCGAUGAUCAGUAGCCGGUCUGAGAGGAUGAACGGCCACAUUGGGACUGAGACACGGCCCAGACUCCUACGGGAGGCAGCAGUGGGGAAUCUUCCGCAAUGGACGAAAGUCUGACGGAGCAACGCCGCGUGAGUGAUGACGGCCUUCGGGUUGUAAAGCUCUGUUAAUCAGGACGAAAGGCCUUCUUGCGAAUAGUGAGAAGGAUUGACGGUACCGGAAUAGAAAGCCACGGCUAACUACGUG
Molecule: ribosomal RNA, 510 nt
Filed under: uncultured bacterium
Lineage: Bacteria
Description: partial 16S ribosomal RNA
Rfam family: Bacterial small subunit ribosomal RNA
Source: RNAcentral